This 437-nucleotide ribosomal RNA is filed under the name Austrocochlea constricta. RNAcentral's name for it is "partial 16S ribosomal RNA". It matches the Rfam family "Bacterial large subunit ribosomal RNA", at positions 1925 to 2528 of the family's 2925-position model. The record is from RNAcentral. Lineage: Eukaryota; Metazoa; Mollusca; Gastropoda; Trochida; Trochidae.
AAACGGCCGCGGUACCCUAACCGUGCAAAGGUAGCAUAAUCAUUUGCCUUUUAAUUGUAGGCUUGUAUGAAUGGUUUGACGAGAGCUAAGCUGUCUCUUUCUUAAUAUUUAAAAAUUAACUUUUAGGUGAAGAGGCCUAAAUAAAACUAAGGGACGAGAAGACCCUAUUGAGCUUUAGUGAAGCAAUAAGUUUUGAGUGUAAUUAAAUUUACGAACUGUUAUAUAUUUAUAGAGUUUUAUUUUGUUGUGAAUCUUUAGUUGGGGCCGACUGAGGAACAAAAAAAGCUUCCUUUGUAUUAUAAGAUUUUGAUUUAUUUGAUAUGAUGUUAGCUAGCUAUUUGAUCCAGUAUUUAUUGAUUAAGGGAAAAAGUUACCAUAGGGAUAACAAGCGUAAUCUUUCUGGAGAGAUCAUAUCGAAAGGAGGGUUUGCGACCUCG